CAAAAGUUUCUACGACCUUCAUAUUUCGGUUUGGUGGAAAGGACAUUAACACCAGGAAAUGGAGGUGAUAAGAAAAGGUGGUGUGGGUUGUGAACAUGUGGCCCGUAUAUUUCCAUGCCAACUCAAAGGAUAAGAUGAUCUAAAACCUUUCACCCCAUUGGAUGUCUCUGGCCCAACUUGUCCCAAAGCUCUCUGUUCCUCCCAGAAUUACCCAUAAUUCAUGCGGACACACCUUUCCUACAACUCCAACAUCAUCUCCUUCUCCCAACCUUCUCAAAAUCCUCUUAAGUUCCUUCACCUUAGACAGCCUUCUUCGAUGGUGACCAUAGCAACCAUGGUCAUGCUUCAUACCAAAUGCCUCAGCAUCAAAUGACCCUCCAACCACCUCAACCCUUCAAAGCCAACAAUGGGAAAGCCCAUUUCCCUCCUCUCACUUCAAACACUCCCAAAAGUGCUUGGGCUCGGCGGGGGACUGGCAGCGGCCAGGUUCAUGGCGACGCCCCAUGUGUUGGCUAGCAAGGUCAAGAUGAUCGCCGGUGCCACUUCUUCGAGUGACAGCAGCUCCUAUCUCCCUUGAUUGCUUUACUUUCCAUAGAUCCUUGAAAAAGAGAAAGAAAUGAAAAUAAAAAAAAAAAGAGAAAAAAAAAAAUACCCAACACAAAACCCCAGCCAUCGUCUAAGCUUUCAUAUUUGGCUGCUCCAUGCCUCCCAUCCGGUUGGGACUCUUAAGGAUGGAAAAUUAGAGAAAAAAUGGGGGAAUGUUAGCAAAAUUAAUCAUCAACAUACAUGCUUCAUCAUGAAUCUAGAAUCUUGAAUAAAAUUUCUAUAUUUAAAAAACAUCAUGAAUCUAGAAUCUUAAACAAAUUUCUCUAUCUAGAAAGCAUACCUGAUAUAGAAGAGAAGGAAGACAUCUCGUCAGGAGGAAGUGACCGCCUUGAUAAAUUGGUUUCUCUCCCCUAUCUCUUCUUUCUGUCACAGCCAUUUUGAU
Molecule: long non-coding RNA, 988 nt
Filed under: Elaeis guineensis (African oil palm)
Lineage: Eukaryota; Viridiplantae; Streptophyta; Magnoliopsida; Arecales; Arecaceae
Description: long non-coding RNA (EGUI_LNC032305)
Source: RNAcentral